CGCUCCGGCUCCUCUAUCUAUUUUGUGUCCAGCCGGAGCCGCGCACGAUGAUUCAUUGCCCCAAUUAGGGGCUCUCUCCAGCGCGCCAGGCUCAAGCCGUCUGAAGGGUCUCCUCAGGGACCGCCGAAACCCAUCAGCGGCUGGAGCUGGUCUUUAAGUAAAGGUCAAGCAGGACGCGGGAGGAGCCAGGUGAGGAAACUAAAGCACAGAGAGGUUAAGCUACUUGCCCAAGAUCACACAGCUAUGAAUGGAAGGAGCUGAUGUUGCAACCCGGGCUGUGCUGUGGAACAGGAGCCUGCACUCUGAGUGGUGCACUCCUUUGCCUACAGACUUUGGAAUUCAGAUCAAAAUCCGUCCCCCAUCCCUGUGUCUUCUCUGCAUGGCCCUAGGCCCAGGCGGGGUUCGAACCCACCAGCCCCUGUGCACGUGGCCAGCGCCCUAAGCGCUGAGUUAUGGGCACCGAGCCCGAAAUGCAGUCUUGACCUGUCAGUCAUGAGUGACCCACCCUGAGCCGCUGAGUCUCCACCCAGAGUAGAAGACCCUCACUUGAUGUUGAUGCUUUAAAUUCAAAGCACAGGCCAAGAACAUCCAGGAAAUGAAAGCCCUGGACAUGUCUGUCCACUCCGUCAAAAUCUCAUCACACCAGAGAGUUCCAGAAGUCAGCAUCACAUGGAUUUAGAGCUUUAGAACGGUCCCUGUGCCGGGGAUUACAUGACACAUCAGCAACCUAUGGAGCAGCGCUCUUCAUUAAACCGGUCGCAGUUUCUGUAGCAAAAUGCAAAACCCCCUGUCGAGUGGGGGGAAGGGAGGCCAUAAAGAGCCCCAUGUCUGUCCAGGGCAGAUAGUUGUGGCCAAACAAGUUACGUAAGGACUUGGCUUUUUUGA
Otolemur garnettii (small-eared galago) is the source of this 885-nucleotide long non-coding RNA. RefSeq lists it as uncharacterized. The transcript is spliced from 3 exons. Lineage: Eukaryota; Metazoa; Chordata; Mammalia; Primates; Galagidae. The record is from RefSeq and is a predicted model, not a curated record.